Molecule: ribosomal RNA, 391 nt
Filed under: uncultured bacterium
Lineage: Bacteria
Description: bacterial SSU rRNA
Rfam family: Bacterial small subunit ribosomal RNA
Source: RNAcentral
AAUCAACGCUGGCGGCGUGCCUAACACAUGCAAGUCGAACGAGAAAGUGGAGCAAUCCAUGAGUAAAGUGGCGCACGGGUGAGUAACACGUGACUAACCUACCCUUGAGUGGGGGAUAACCUAGGGAAACCUGGGCUAAUACCGCAUAAUACCUACGGGUCAAAGGAGCAAUUCGCUUUAGGAGGGGGUCGCGGCAGAUUAGUUAGUUGGCGGGGUAAUGGCCCACCAAGACGAUGANCUGUAUCCGGCCUGAGAGGGCGCACGGACACACUGGAACUGAAACACGGUCCAGACUCCUACGGGAGGCAGCAGUGGGGAAUUUUGCGCAAUGGGGGAAACCCUGACGCAGCAACGCCGCGUGGAGGAUGAAGACCCUUGGGUCGUAAACUCC